This 492-nucleotide ribosomal RNA is filed under the name uncultured bacterium. RNAcentral describes it as "partial 16S ribosomal RNA". It matches the Rfam family "Bacterial small subunit ribosomal RNA", at positions 29 to 507 of the family's 1533-position model. The record is from RNAcentral.
AGUGAACGCUGGCGGUAGGCCUAACACAUGCAAGUCGAACGGCAGCACAGUAAGAGCUUGCUCUUACGGGUGGCGAGUGGCGGACGGGUGAGGAAUACAUCGGAAUCUACUUUUUCGUGGGGGAUAACGUAGGGAAACUUACGCUAAUACCGCAUACCACCUACGGGUGAAAGCAGGGGAUCAUCGGACAUUGCGCGGAUGAAUGAGCCGAUGUCGGAUUAGCUAGUUGGCGGGGUAAAGGCCCACCAAGGCGACGAUCCGUAGCUGGUCUGAGAGGAUGAUCGGCCACACUGGAACUGAGACACGGUCCAGACUCCUACGGGAGGCAGAAGUGGGGAAUAUUGGACAAUGGGGGCAAGCCUGAUCCAGCCAUACCGCGUGGGGGAAGAAGGCCUUCGGGUUUUAAAGCCCUUUUGUUGGGAAAGAAAAGCAGCAGGUUAAUACCCCGCUGUUCUGACGGUACCCAAAGAAUAAGCACCGGCUAACUUCGUG